GAUGAUGUCUGGGACCCCACAUCGAGGGGUGGUCAUUUUCGAUACCGUCGUGGCAUCUAAUGUGCCCGUGGGGUUAAUAUGGUAAUUUCGCUGGUAGGUUUUGAUGGCGGACUCUAAGGUUUCGUCGAAAUCGUCGUUGUUGGCGUGGGUUUCAUUUGGGUAUUGGAGAUAGCCAAAUUGAUGGAGGUAGUUUUUGAGGUGGUGGAUAUCUUUGGUUUUGUUACCCUUGUGACAACCUUGUAGGGUUUUGAUGAACUCAAAUGGUGAUGGUUUUUGUUCACUUGGUGUAUCCCUCUUGGCUUGGCCAAUAGGAGAGAGGGAAAUUAUGGCAAAAAUGAAGAUGAAUGAUAGGAGAUUAAAUUGUUUAAGUGCCAUAAUUAAGUAUUCAAGAAGAUAUACUCAAAGAAUUGAAUAAGAAGUUUGUGUAUAACAUAUUGCUAUGUAGUAUGUCUAUUUAUAUAUACACAUUUGUAUGUGGAAAAAUGAUGCAUAAAUAUUAGAGAUGACUCAUAGUAGAAGUCUGUUUUAUGUUUCACUAGAAUACAUUGCCUUGCAUUUAGAAGACCAAUGACUAUAUUGUGGAAAUUUGCGUCCAUAUGUAUAAAUUUUCCACAUUUGGAAUGUGGAAAUAAAUUGUGUUUAUUUUCCACGAAUAAUUGACGGGUUUGGAAUUUUUAGGAAACUAUAUUGUGACCAAUGACUUGGAAAAUUGGGAGGAAAUUGAACAAAUUGGAAUUAAAUUACCACAUUUGAAAAAAAAAAAAAAUCUUUUUUUCUUUUGGAAAUUGAAAAAUAAUGUUAUUGGUCCAAUAUCCCAAGUAAAAUUAAAAAAAAAAAAACUCUUUCAUAACAAUAAGUAAGUAUAUAAAUGCAAACAACUCUCGUGUCCUAUGCAAUCAAAAGUAAAGUACAACGGCAUUCUGCCAACGAUCGUUAUGUCGAGUUUGUAAUACAUGGUUAGUUUAGUGUGAUUUACUUAUCUUGUAUGCAUAGUUUGCAAGUUAUUAUAUCAUAGUGUAAGUUUACCUAGUGCACCUAUAUAAUUGGCUGCAGGUUCUUUCAUAUCAAAAAAGAAAAAGAAAAAAGUAAAAUGGCAGUGUACUCAUUUUCAAAUUUACAUUAACAAAGUAACGAUUUUGUAGAUGUUGCGUUCGAUGAAAUAUAUCUGGUGAUUCGACGGCAUUGAUCUAUAUAUAAUAACACACAGGCGCCUAUGCGUAUGUGUGGCUUAGCGGAUGGUUAUUUAUAUAGAUCUAUGAUCUAAAAUCACCUAAUAUAUUUCACCAAGUAUAGCAUUUUAUAAAUCAAAAACGACGAUCGUUACCCAGUAAUAUUGUGUGGGGGUUAUUUAUCUAAAUUAGGGUAUUAAUCUUUUAAAUAAAUAUUAUGGAUUCUAGUAAAAAAUAAAUUAUAAAAUGACUAAAAUAUUCCUCUUACUAAUUUUUUUACCAUUAAUUAUCUACUUAACAAAUUAGUACUAAUAAUAGCAAAUUAAAAUAAUUUUUUUUUCCAAAACGAUAAAUAAUUUCAUAAAAUGAUUAUUUAUUUACCAAAAAAGAAAGUUAGUUCUAUUAUGAUUGGACCGAAUAUUCCUCAAUAUUUCAGCGGUAGUUUGGUCUUUCUGGCAACGAGGGUGAUUAAUUCGCUAAUACGUACUACUAGGGGUAAUAUGCUAUCCCUUAAAUCCAUCAUAAUUUGAACUAAAUGAUAAGUUUAAAUCCAAUAUUUUAUUUAAAUCUUUAGUUUGAAAUAAUAUCAAAUCCUUAAAUUUUCUUUUAUUCCUAUGUUGCCCUUAUUUAAAUCAUAUAACUUCACGUAUCUCAAUCCAGAUUUAUUUAUUUUCUUUAAUCUUCUCUCUCGCCUUUUAUUCUCUCUCUCUCUCUCUCUCUCUCUCUCUAUAUGUCAAUUUCCUCUUUUUUUUUUUUUUUUUCUCUCUCACCUCUCUAUCUCUAUCUCGCUCUCUCCGGUAAGCACAAAGGCCGGGGCCGACGGCGGAGGGAAUAGGAGCGGGGCCAACUGGGGAAGUGGUGGUGGAGGAGGCGGCGGCGGCGGCAGCUGGGUGGCGGAGGAAGCAGGGUUCUUUUUUUUUUUCUUCUUUAUAUAUAUAUAUAUAUAUAUAUAUAUAUAUAUAUAUAUAUAUAUAUAUAUAUAUAUAUAUAUAUAUAUAUAUAUAUAUAUAUAUAUAUAUAUAUAUAUUUUCAAUGUUAUGUAAGGAAAAAAUAAAGUUUUUUUUUAUAUAUAAUAGUGCAUAAAAUGCUAAAAUCACGAAAGAAAAAAAAAAGACAAACGAGUAUUCUGUAAAAAAUAUUAAAAAACGUAAAUUGGAAAAAUGAAAAACAUAGAAAAAUGAUAAAUGCAGUUUGAUUUUACUUAAUGCAAAUUUUGAAUUUUGUACUGGAGGGGCAUUUUUGGAAUAAAUUUUAUGAAAAAUGUGAAACAAAUGUUUAGUUGGACUUGUCAUUUAGUUCUAAUAAAUUUUGUCAAGAGGGAGCCCCUGUGUACUAAUUAGUUUGCAUAAUAAUAUCUAUCUAUCUGGAAAAAUCAUUUUGGCGGUCACCGGCGCCGAACUUAAUGGCAGAUCAACUGUGAGCCGCCGCCGAAUUAGAGCCCACGAUCCAAUUUGUUAGAUCCGAUAUACGUAAUCCAGAUUCCACCACCGCUCUCGUUUCUUCUUCAAUCUCGAAAAUUCCGACGGCGAAAAGAGUCAACCAUGGGAUUGUUCACCUACACAGUAGCCGGCGGCGCUCUAAUUCUACUCGGCGCGUGGGAAUCGGUCAUCUCCGCCUCCGAAUCCCUCAAACAAACCCCACCGCCACACUCGCCGCAAAAUAGUAAACAAUCCACGCCGCCGGGAACAGCCUCAUUUUCGUCGACAGUGACGUUUCUGCUGAUCUCCGUUCUGUCCGUACUCUUCGUCGUGAACUCAUUCAUCUCUUUAUCCGACGUCGUCGCCUCCGACGAUGACGUCGGUUUCGCCCUACAGUUGGAGGUAAUUGCAAUCGGCUUCCUUUUCACAGGCAAAAGGUAGCACUCUUUUUGUAAUAGGUUUCUUAAUUUGUAAGUUUAAGGCAUUAUGCUAGAAAGAUGAUAUAAGAAACAAAGGGUUUGGUAUAGGGUUUCUUUUGGCCUUCUUGAAAUGUGUAUAUAGAACUCCAUGGGAAAACUCAUGUAAAUGUAUUUUCAACAACCUAUAAUUUCUUGUUUAUUUGAAGUUGAUUUUAUGUUUUCAGAAGUCAAAAUUUUAGUUGAUUCCAUUAAAUUAUCAUUUCUUGUUUAUUUGAAGUUGAUUUUUUGUUUUCAAAAGUUACAAAUUUAAGUUAAUUCCAUUAAAUUAAAUUUUUUCUGUGUUGAUUUUGUGGAUUUGAACAGUGGCGAAGCCAGAAUUUUAUGUUUCACGUUAAAAAAAGACCUAGUUUCUUCUAUAAUUUUGAUUUUUUUAAUUUCGAGGGCUUAUAAGUUUAUGUGGUAUUUGAUAAUAUAGAUGUCUACAAACAAAAGAAAAUAGACCACUAGUGCAAUUGGAAUCACUAUAGUUAUAUUUAAAAUAUUAGAAUUUAUCUAGUUUUAUUUUUACGAUUUUAUGAAAGUGAGUGUCCUUAUUUUAAAAUUUCCAUUGCUUUUGGAACUGGAAUAAAUUUUGUACUUUCAAAAAAUUUUUUUUUUUUUUUCGAAAAGAUUAAUUUCGAUCCAUUUUAUCUGACUUUCAAUCUUGAUGCCAAGAUAUAGGAUAAAACUACAAGAAAAUAAGCACAAAAGGAAACAUGUUUAUUUAAGGUUUCAGACCCGUCACACAUUCUAGGAUACAAGCUUGAAAUACAGAAAUAUGAAACAUAAAUUACCGUACAAUUUAUGUGUUUUAUUCUUACAAAGGGAAAUCUGGUGUGAGAGAGAGAGGGAGAGAGAGAGAGAGAGAGAGAGAGAGAGAGAGAGAGAGAGAGAGAGAGAGAGAGAGAGAGAGAGAGAGAGAGAGAGAGAGAGAGAUAGAGAGACAGAGAGAGAGAGAGAGAUAAAAACAGGUCUUUUAUUCAGUCACGCGCCAAGCCACGUUGAAGCAAUAUUUCACACGUUAUAUAAAGCUCUGAUUCCCUGGAUAUCAUCUGCAUUCAAACCCUUGGUCCUUCCAGACGAAAGUCGAGGGUACAUAAUCGCAGCCUCGACCGAGCUAUGACCUAGCCCUAGAAGGUGCCCGAUUUCAUGCAAUGCCACCGUUUCCAGGUCGAAAGCAUUCGGCACUGGCCCAAUGGACCACCGCUCGUCCGCAUCGUAAUGGAACCUCCCGUUGGUCGGAGCGAACGCAUGGGCUAGGGUUCCGCCAGGUCCGUCGAACGGGGCCCCAUCUCCGUGGUUCCGACGAUGAAACCCUAUCACCAUAUCAGCACUCCGACCGCUCGGGGCCUGCGAAAAGGUGAAGUGAGUGGCGGCGUCCCAUCUCUGGAAGGCCCGUACGACGGGGGCCACCGCCCCCGCGGGGGUGUUGGGAGAAAACCCGAACGUCAGAUGAGUUCUGGAAGGCGGCCAUCUGAGGUUUCCCGGAAAGAAACUGUAGUGAGACACUGUAUGGAUAUGGCCGCUCGAGCCCGAUUCGUGUUUUUUCGUACCGGACUUCUGCAUGGUGUUAUCGCCGUUGAUGAUGUCGGCGACCCCACAUCGAGUGGUGGUCAUUGUAGAUACCGUUAUGGCAUCUAGUGUGCCAGUGGGGUUAAUAUGGUAAUUACGCUGGUAGGUUUUGACGGCGGAUUCUAGGGUUUCGUCGAAGUCGUCAUUGUAAUUGGCGUGGGUUCGAUUUGGGUAUUGGAGAUAGCCAAAUUGAUGUAGGUAGUUUUUAAGAUUGUGGAUUUCUUUGGUUUUGUUGCCCUUGUGACAACCUUGUAGGGUUUUGAUGAAUUCAAAUGGUGCUUGUUUUUGUUCACUUGGUGUAUUCCUCUUGGCUUGGCCAAUAGGAGAGAGGGAAAUUAGGGCAAGAAUGAAGAUUGAUAAAAGGUGAGAAGUAGCCAUUGUUGAGUGUCAAGAAUAUUAAGAUAUUGCUUUUGCUCUAUAGAAUAAUGUUUAUUUACAUGUCUAUUUAUAGAGAUUCAUUUGUAUUGAUUUUGAUUUUUAUUUUUUUAAAAGAGUGCCAUAAUUUGUACUAGGUGUCUAUUUUAUGAAUUUUAACUAGAAAUAAAGAAAGAAAGAAAGAAAUAAAUAUAUAAUACAAGAUUACAAGUUGUUGACUUGGAUGACCAAAAUACCAGGUCCAUGCAUGACAAUUGACUUUCUUUAUUCCAUUUUAAAUAUAGAAAUAGAAUGUUGGUUUCAUUUUCCUUGGAAAAAUAAGAUGAUUUAAAAAAAAAAGGGUAAAUUACAAACACCCCUGAGGUAUGGUCAAAUUACAAAAACACCCCUCUUGUUUGGAUAAUUACAACCACCCCCUCAACUCCUCAAAUUUAGUGGAAUCUUCGAGAUUAUAUGGAAUAUUAUCACUUUUGUACACGUUUUAUCCCAUUCAAACUCUACAUUAUGAAGCAAGAUGAUCAUAAUAUGUGAUUUUUAGCUUGUAUAUAUCAGUUUGUGGUGCAUCGGAAACUGCAUUUUUACACAAAACGAGUACAAACUAGAGCACAUUCCACGGAAUCUAGAUGAUUAUGUUGAAUUGGGCACCAUACGGGUGGAGGUGUAAGAAAAAAUCAUAGUUGAGGGGGGUAUUUGUAAUUAUCCAAACAAGAGGGGUGUUUUUGUAAUUUGACCAUACCUCAGGGGGGUGUUUGUAAUUUACCCUAAAAAAAAAUCUUCUUCAUUAGAAGAGGAAAGAAGAAAGACAUAAUUAAAAUGGGGUUCAAUGUUAAGUCCAAUCAACUAAUUAAUAGGGUUGUCCAGCAAGGGAUGACCUAGCCGUUGGAGCAAGUGAGUGUGAUUGAAUUGACCCAGGUUCGAAUUUUCUUGCCAACGGUCGCUAGGUCGAGCUUGCGACACAUGGUUAGUCUAGUGUGGUUUACGUCUCUCUUAUGAUUUACAAACUAUUAUACGAGAGUGUAGGUCUACACAGUGCACCUAUAUAGUCGGUUGCGUAUUCCUUUAUUACCAAAAACAAAUAAAUAUUAAUAUUCAUAUACAAUAUUUUUACUCAUUAUAAAAUAUUAAAAAGGGUGGGGACAUGUACGUACUUUUUUUUUUUUUUUUUUUUUUUUAAAUCUUGUCUUCAACAUCUUAUUACUUUUCAAAAAAACUACGAAACAUUUCUAACAGAGCUUAUAACUUCUUAAAUAUCUUAUUAGCUCUAUUUAACAGCUUAUAAGCUUAUGCAAACACCCUCUAAAUGCCUCUAAAUGCAGAGUUGAAUCAGUCCAAUUUGGAGACAAAGUGGGAAGAAAUCGUGUUGUUCAGUUCAUCUUAUUUUCCAAUCCAAAAUAAGACUUCCCCUCGUCUUUGGUGGUCCUAGCUAACAUAUCUUUAUUUAUUUUAUUUUAUUUAUUUUUAUUUUUUUUAUUUCUAUGUCACGGCACUACUUACAUAAGACUUUUCAUAAAGUCGAGCUCGUCUGUUUUGAAAGGUUCGAGCUCGAACUCGUUUACCACCCCUAAUUUGGGCUGUAUAUAAUUUUUUGAUUUUAUAUUGAUAAAUUAUUUAAUACUUGGAGGUCUAGCUAGAGAUGAUAUAUAUAUAUAUAUAUAUAUAUAUAUAUAUAUAUAUAUAUAUAUAUAUAUAUAUAUAUAUAUAUAUAUAUAUAUAUAUAUAUAUAUAUCCACGUUAAGUAUGGCCAAAUUACGAAAAAAACCCUCUUGUUUGGGUAAUUACAACCAUCUCUCUUCUUUUAAAAAAUUUUUACAUAAAAUUUAUGUAAUUCGGUUAUUUACCGAACCAAAUCGUAUAUUCAUUUCGGUAAACGGUAUGAAAUGUUGGCGUACCAAAAUUUCGGUUCGAUUUUACAGAUUUGACAUUCCUAAAUUUACCUCUAGAAGGGUAUUUUCGUAAAAUAAUACAUAGUUGAGGGGGUGGCAGUAAUUACCCAAACAUGAGGGUAUUUUUCGUAAUUUGACCAUAACUCAGGGGUAGCCGUAAUAUGCCCCAUAUAUAUAUAUUGCACAUUUGCCCCCAAUAAAGAACUUAGAUAAUAAAAAGUACUUGCCUCUAUAAUGGUUCAAUUGAGAAGGAAAAAUAUCAAAUUGACUGUAAGUUUGAUGCUUCAUCUCUUCCUGGAGCUACUCAAAAGUCACUAUUUAGGUGCCAUGUUUGGGGUAACCUCAAAAAAUGUCAAUAAUUUAAAUCGGAGAAACAAGAAAAAAAAAAACAAUAAUAGCAAUAAUUUAUGAUGGGAAUUUAAAUCGGAAAUAUAAGUCUAUAACACUCUAUUUAUGAAAAAAAAUACAUUCUCUAUAAAUUUUCUAUUACAGCUUGCAAUUAAUUAGUCAAAUGUAUAAAAUAAAACAAGAAAAUAAAAGGAAUGCAAAAGUAAUUUGAUCACUAGAAUAAGAACAAAAAUAAAUUAAACUUUUUUUUUUUUGAGAACAAAAAUAAAUUAAACUACUUAUAUGGAAAAAGAUAAUUUCGUAGAAGUGUAGUCAUUAUAAGUAUAGUUUGAUAAAAGGAGUUUAUAAACUGCUAAAAGAAUAUAAGAUUAAUAAUACUUUUGUUUAUGCUCAUAUCUUGUUAAUCUUUUGAGGAUAGAUAUUUAAUAUAAUUUCUAAUUAUAAUCUUUAGGAAAUUUAAUUUUUUUUAACAAACCCCUGAAAACUCACUCUUUAGGGAAUUUAUGUGCUAAAAAUUAAGGCUAAAGUACAAAAAACCCCUGAACUAAGGUCUAAUUACCAAAACCCACCUCAGAAAUUCAUAAUUAGCAAAACACUCUCUGACUAAUCGUUGACCAGAUUUCUUAAAAAGAAAUUGUUGUGUCUUUAAUGCCCCUAAGUUAAAUAAAAUUCAAAAAUCAUAAAAUUCGGUGACAUUUUGAAGACUUUCAAUUGAAUUUUGAAGGAUAUUUCAAUAUUUAUAUUAAAAAAUAUUGCAAUUACCUCUAUGAAGGAAUAAUAUUAUUACAAUUACCUCUAAGGGUAAAAUUGGAAUUUUUGAAAAAUAUUCCUUGAAAUUAGAAAGAUUCCGUCGAAGUUCACAGUAUAAGUGGACAAUGUAAGGCGACAACAAAAUUUCAGACCAAUAGGAAAACAAAAUAAUAAAUAGAAAAAAUAUGUAUGCAUUAAAAUAGAAAAAAUAUGUAUGCAUUAAUAAAUAGAAAACAAAAUAAUAAAUAGAAAAAAUAUGUAUGCAUUAGGAGAGUUGGUACCUAGCCUUUACCAAUAGGGUAACGGUCUAGGGUUCGAGUCCCCCCCCCCCCCCCCCCCUCCUACUUCCCCUUGUAAUGGACUUGAAUUUACUCAAAAAAAAAAAAAAAAAAAUAAAAAAAAAAAUAUGUAUGCAUUAAUAUUUCAUAUUUCAUACCAAUGGGAAAACAAAAACACAAACUAUUAUAAAGUUUAUUUUCUUCAUUAUUAUUAAAAAGGGAAAAAAAUCCUUAAGUAGCACACUAAUACAUUAUUCCGAACAAAAGAAACAUUUUGUUACAUUUAUAGAGAUAGAUGACGUAUUUUUUAAUUCAAUCAAAUUAACCAUGCCCAAUAAUAUUUCAGACAUUGUAUAAAGCUCUAAUUCCUUGAAUAUCAUCUGCAUGCAAAUUCUUGGUCACACCAGCUCCAAUUCCGGAAUACAUAAUUGCAGCCUCGACCGAGCUAUGCCCAAGCCCAAGAAGGUGCCCGAUUUCAUGCAGCGCCACCGUUUCCAAGUCGAAAGCAUCUUGGACUGGCCCAACGGACCACCGUUCGUCCGCAUCGUAAUGGAAUCUCCCAUUGGUCGGAGCAAAAGCAUGGGCUAGGGUUCCGCCACGUCCGUCGAACGGGAAUCCAUCCCCGUGAUCCCCACGGUGAAAUCCUAUCACCAGAUCGGCGGAAUUCUGGGCCCGCGAAAAGGUGAAAUGGGUGGAGGAGGCCCAUUUUUGAAAGGCCCGAGAAACGGGGCCCACUGCUGGCGCGGGAGUGUUGGGCAAAAACCUGUAAGUUAGAUGGGUUUUGGAAGGCGGCCAUCUAGGAUUUCCUUGAAAGAAAGAGUAGUGAGAUACUGUAUGGAUAUGUUUGCUGCUCGAGUUCGAUUCGUGUUCUUUUGUCCCAUGCUUCUGCAUGGUGUUUUUACCGUCGAUGAUGUCGGGGACCCCGCAUCGAGGGGUGGUCAUUUUCGAUACCGUUGUGGCAUCUAAUGUGCCUGUGGGGUUAAUAUGGUAGUUUCGCUGGUAGGUUUUGACGGCGGACUCUAGGGUUUCGUCGAAAUCGUCGUUGUUGGCGUGAGUUUCAUUUGGGUAUUGAAGAUAGCCAAAUUGAUGGAGGUAGUUUUUGAGGUGGUGGAUAUCUUUGCUUUUGUUGCCCUUGUGACAACCUUGUAGGGUUUUGAUGAACUCAAAAGGUGAUGGUUUUUUAUCACUUGGUGUAUCCCUCUUGGAUUGGCCAAUAGGAGAGAGGGAAAUUAGGGCAAGAAUGAAAAUGAAUGAUAGGAGAUUAA
This 9516-nucleotide long non-coding RNA is filed under the name Erythranthe guttata (spotted monkey flower). Its description in RNAcentral is "long non-coding RNA (EGUT_LNC001416)". Lineage: Eukaryota; Viridiplantae; Streptophyta; Magnoliopsida; Lamiales; Phrymaceae. The record is from RNAcentral.